This 1522-nucleotide long non-coding RNA is filed under the name Equus caballus (horse). RNAcentral describes it as "lncRNA (ENSECAG00000039455.3)". The record is from RNAcentral. Lineage: Eukaryota; Metazoa; Chordata; Mammalia; Perissodactyla; Equidae.
GUUAUGGCAGUGGUACUUUGUUAUGGUACUUAGCAAACUCAUACAGUAGGUAAAUUAUUCUACCCUAUGACCCGAUUCUUUUGAGAUUUACUCAAGUCCUCGUAGUGUGCCCCAAUGGAUUUGUAAUAGAAACAGAAUGGAAGAACAAAGUACCCUGUUCUUUCUAAGGGCUUCUAUUCCCAUGGAGUCCUGACGGGUCUGCCAAACAAAGGGUGAUCACAUGAUCAAGACUAUGACAUCCUAAGAUUCCUUCCCACUACAACUGGCCCAGGGGAGACUUCUGGCUCAAGCUGUCAAUCAGCCUCUCCUAGGAUCUGAAACCUGAAGAAAAGCAUGGCUACCAGUUCAAUUUGACAUGUAUCCUAGACACAGAGAAACAUAUCUCCACAGACUCCUCCAGCUCUUUCCUGUUGACAUGAUGUAUUUACUGAGAAGCUCUUCUCAUAGGGUGAACUGAAGCUGAGAAGGCAGUGUCGCACAGGCCUGAGUCUGGGAAGUGGACCCAGAGUUAACGAGCAAGAAGUCCACAGGUUAUAUUGAAUGGCUGCCCUCCUAUCUUGUCUGGAAGAGAUCCCCAGAGGACCCCAGCUCUCAGAGCCAGAAAUUGGUUUCUUCCUUCCAAGCAGACAUGACUCCCCAGACUCUGACCCUUGGGAUGUAUGCACAAAACAUUUCUUUCCAUUCCGUCACCCAGGUAUCCACCGAGGCUUCCCUGCCACUCUGGCACCUGCAACUGAAAUGCUGUCCCUGUGCUCUGUUCUUUUUGUAGUUUUUUCACUACCUCAUAUUACAUUCUAAGCUUAUAGGUUAACUUGCUCAUUAUUUGACUCCACCACUAAAAAUAUAAAUUCCAUGAGAGAAGGCAAUUUGCUCUCUUUUUCACGACUGGAUCGUCAGAGCUUAAACAGUGGCUGGAACAUACAGUGAAUUCAACAAGUACCUGUUAAAUGAAUAAAUGAUUUAAAUAACACAGUCACUCUGUGCAGCUGAACAAAAAACUCAGCUCUGAUUCAAGAACUACUAAAUAAUUAACUCUACAAAAAUAUUACUUGGAAAUGUUGAUUUUACUGAAGAUUUUGGAUGGGAAAUAGAGAAAGGAUUUAUAUUGGAACUCUUCAUUAAAAAUUGUUCAACCUCAUUCAUAACAAAAAGAAUGCAAAUUAAAAUCGGACCAAGAAGCCUGCAGAGCCUAGGAAGAGUAAACAGAACUGUGGAGAUGGGGAGAGAAAGGAGGGGAAGGGAGGUACCUGGCACAUAGCCCAAGGGAACGAGAAAAGUAUUUAUGUGGGAGAGGGGCAGAGAUGUGAGAUGUGUUACAUACAGGAGGGAUGCUCAAAUAAACAACUAUUUAAGGAUAAUGUGAGCUAAGUUUCUCACUGUCAGAGAAGGGAAUUAAAAAUACAGAAAAGGAGAAAACUAUAAUGAAUCAUGUGAUGUUGGAUAAGAAUUGAAGGUAUGGUAUCAACCUAUAGUUGUAAUGUAUAGAAAUAAAUAAAUAUAGAUGUAAACAUGUGUCUAUUAA